CAGUAGCCGCGGGAAUACGUAGGGUGCGAGCGUUAAUCGGAAUUACUGGGCGUAAAGCGUGCGCAGGCGGUUAUAUAAGACAGAUGUGAAAUCCCCGGGCUCAACCUGGGACCUGCAUUUGUGACUGUAUAGCUAGAGUACGGUAGAGGGGGAUGGAAUUCCGCGUGUAGCAGUGAAAUGCGUAGAUAUGCGGAGGAACACCGAUGGCGAAGGCAAUCCCCUGGACCUGUACUGACACUCAUGCACGAAAGCGUGGGGAGCAAACAGGAUUAGAUACCCCUGUAGUCCCUGUCUCUUAUAC
Molecule: ribosomal RNA, 301 nt
Filed under: uncultured bacterium
Lineage: Bacteria
Description: partial 16S ribosomal RNA
Rfam family: Bacterial small subunit ribosomal RNA
Source: RNAcentral